CCUACGGGUGGCAGCAGUGAGGAAUAUUGGUCAAUGGACGAGAGUCUGAACCAGCCAAGUAGCGUGAAGGAUGACUGCCCUUGGGGUUGUAAACUUCUUUUAUAUGGGAAUAAAAUGUUCCACGGGUGGGAUGUGAUAUGUCCCAUAUGAAUAAGGUUCGGCAAACUCGUGACCAGACGCCUCGGUAAUACGGAGGAUCAGAGCGUUUUCCGGUUUUAUUGGGUUUAAAGGGGGGCUAGGUGGGUUGUUAAGUCACUUGGGAAAGGUUGCGGCUCACGCGGUAAAUUGCAGUUGAAACUGGCAGUCUUGAGUACAGUAGAGGUGGGCGGAAUGUGUGGUGUAGCGGUGAAAUGCUUAGAUAUCACGCAGAACUCCGAUUGCGAAGGCAGCUCACUGGACUGCAACUGACACUGAGGCACGAAAGUGUGGGUAUCAAACAGGAUUAGAUACCCGAGUAGUC
This 460-nucleotide ribosomal RNA is filed under the name uncultured bacterium. Its description in RNAcentral is "partial 16S ribosomal RNA". It matches the Rfam family "Bacterial small subunit ribosomal RNA", at positions 338 to 795 of the family's 1533-position model. The record is from RNAcentral.